UACACUGCCAAUGUAACUCCCUGACUCCCUAGUGGCUGGUGAUACUGGGCAGUGAGGGGCCAUGUGCACCACACCACCACACCACUCCCAUACUCUUCUCAGGUGACAGAAACCAGACCCAAGCCCACCUCUGCCCACCAAACGGUUCAGAACAUACAGAGGUACUAUGCCACGUGCCACUCCAAUCAUAGACUUGCAGUACAUACACACGUCAUUAAAUAGAGCUUGUCUGUGUGUCCUGCAGCCAGAGGGGUUGAUCUGAAGGAGGGAUAAGCUGGCCAUGGGGUCGUCACCAGUGAACCCUGACGGGACACUCAAGGAUAAAGAGAAAAUUAGCAGACAUCUUUUUUUUUUUAAAUGGUGUUUAUUGUUGGUCUGCUUUCCUUGUGCAUAAAGAAGAAGAAGAAGAAGACGAAGAAGAAGAAAGAAGAAGAAGAAGAACUGAAGAAGUGAAUAAUAAUAAGAACAAGAACAAGAACUGAAGAAAAACAACAACAACAACAAUAACAUCAACAACAACAGCAACAACAACGUCUCACAGUGGUCGCGUGCUGUACUUAGGGCGUUCCAUCCUGUAUCCUUUCUCCAGGGCCUUGAUGAAACUCUCGUCCACGGACACACCAGGGAAAGGGCACUGACCCAGGCUGCGGGGAGACGGCCAAGCGCAUCUGCCAGCAGCCGUGCCCCCUCACCCACCUGAAUAUCUCCCACAGCACCACACCAUAUGACCACACGUCGCUCUGGGUGGAGAAGAUCCCAUCCCUCAGCGCCUCCACCGACAUCCACUUGACUGGGAGCGGAGACUGUGAAUAGAAGGAAAGGAUAUUUUUAUGUCCCCGUGCAGCACCUGAAGGAGAGGGGGACGAGAUAGAUCAAGAUUAGGUAACUUCCGAUCUUGGACGAUUCUGAUUAGUUCGAGUAUAACAAGAAUGAAAGAGAGGAGAAGACAGGGAGGAAGACGAUGGUGCUGCUGCUGGGGCGGUGUGGAGAGACAAAUGGAAGGAUGGUCGAGGCUUUGAAGGAGUUCCUGGAGAGAAUGUGUUAUGCCAAAUAAUGUAGGAGUUAGUGUUGUGAUAGAUACUUUUUUUUUCUUUUUCCUACAGAAGUUAAUGUUACAAAGGCCUGACUUAGCCCCAUAUUCAGAAACGACUAUUUUCAAAGGCCAUAGAGAUGAUUAGUCUGGCUCUUAAUAGUAUUUCCCCUGUUAAUAAUGCAAAAACCUUAUUAACCUGUCACUAGAACCAUAAAAAAUCCUUAAAAAAAAAAACACGUGUAACAUCAACUAAAGCCUCUCGUAAGUAGGUGAGGUGCGGGAGAAAGUGUUUAAGAAUAUAUUCCUUAAUUAAGAGCAAACCUAAUUCGCCUGCAACAUCAAAAUAAAACUGAGGCCAGUGCUUAGAAACGCUUAGCUCUCUCACCACUGUUAUUUUCAAAGACCACAGAAAUGAUCAGCAAGGUUCUUAAGAGUGUUUUUCUAUCAUUAAUAUAGAAAUCUCAUUAAUCUGUCACUAGAAUCAUAAAAAAAACACUCUGCUCUCUCACCAGCUAUUUUUAAUCGCCACAAAGAUGAUUAGCAAGGUUCUCAAGAGUGUUUUUCUAUUACUAAUGUAGAAAUCUUAUUAAUCUGUCACUAGAACCAUAAAAACACCCUUAAAUACACGCGUCACUUCAAUUAGAGCCUCUUGAAAGUAGUGAAGAUGAGGGAGGAGGUGUUUCAGAAUAUUAAGAACAUCCCUGAGUCACCUACAACAUUAAAAUCAAACUAACCUUUC
Scylla paramamosain (green mud crab) is the source of this 1772-nucleotide long non-coding RNA. RefSeq lists it as uncharacterized. The record is from RefSeq and is a predicted model, not a curated record. The transcript has 4 exons. Lineage: Eukaryota; Metazoa; Arthropoda; Malacostraca; Decapoda; Portunidae.